AGAUAGUGGCGCACGGGUGAGUAACGCGUAAGAAUCAACCCUGAGGAGGGGGAUAACAGUUGGAAACGACUGCUAAUACCCCAUAUGCUGAGGAGUGAAACGACUUCGGUCGGCCUUGGGACGAGCUUGCGUCUGAUUAGCUAGUUGGUGGGGUAAUUGCCCACCAAGGCGACGAUCAGUAACUGGUCUGAGAGGAUGAUCAGUCACACUGGAACUGAGACACGGUCCAGACUCCUACGGGAGGCAGCAGUGAGGAAUAUUCCGCAAUGGGCGAAAGCCUGACGGAGCAAUGCCGCGUGAAGGAUGAAGGCCUGUGGGUCGUAAACUUCUUUUCUCAGAGAAGAUUUAAGACGGUAUCUGAGGAAUAAGCAUCGGCUAACUCCGUGCCAGCAGCCGCGGUAAUACGGAGGAUGCAAGCGUUAUCCGGAAUGAUUGGGCGUAAAGCGUCUGUAGGUGGCCUAUUAAGUCCGCUGUCAAAUCCCAGGGCUCAACCUUGGACCGGCAGUAGAUACUAAUAGGCUUGAGUUGGGUAGAGGCUGAGGGAAUUCCCAGUGUAGCGGUGAAAUGCGUAGAUAUUGGGAAGAACACCAAGGGCGAAAGCACUCAGCUGGGCCUUGACUGACACUCAGAGACGAAAGCUAGGGUAGCGAACGGGAUUAGAUACCCCGGUAGUCCUAGCCGUAAACGAUGGAUACUAAUUACUGGGUCUCUUUCGAGAUACAGUGAUGUAGCUAACGCGUUAAGUAUCCCGCCUGGGGAGUAUGCUCGCAAGGGUGAAACUCAAAGGAAUUGACGGGGGCCC
RNAcentral lists this ribosomal RNA (802 nucleotides) under uncultured cyanobacterium. Its description in RNAcentral is "bacterial SSU rRNA". It matches the Rfam family "Bacterial small subunit ribosomal RNA", at positions 90 to 922 of the family's 1533-position model. The record is from RNAcentral. Lineage: Bacteria; Bacillati; Cyanobacteriota.